This 253-nucleotide ribosomal RNA is filed under the name uncultured Lewinella sp. RNAcentral's name for it is "partial 16S ribosomal RNA". It matches the Rfam family "Bacterial small subunit ribosomal RNA", at positions 524 to 776 of the family's 1533-position model. Lineage: Bacteria; Pseudomonadati; Bacteroidota; Saprospiria; Saprospirales; Lewinellaceae. The record is from RNAcentral.
UACGGAGGGUGCAAGCGUUAUCCGGAAUCACUGGGUUUAAAGGGUGCGUAGGCGGCUUAGUAAGUCAGAGGUGAAAGUUCUGGGCUUAACCGAGGAAUUGCCUUUGAUACUGCUGAGCUUGAAAAAGGUUGAGGCAGGCGGAAUGUGGCGUGUAGCGGUGAAAUGCUUAGAUAUGCCAUAGAACACCAAUUGCGAAGGCAGCUUGCUGGACCUGUUUUGACGCUGAGGCACGAAAGCGUGGGGAGCGAACAGG